AAUAAAUGUAACUAUAAUUUAAAAGAGAUUAAAUGAUAGGUCAUUAAAUUUAAAAGAUUUGGCAGUAUUUAAUAUUUAGAGGAACCUGUAUAUUAAUUGAUAAUCCACGAUAAGAUAUACUUGAUUUAAGUUUAUGUAUUGCUGUUUUUAGUAUUUAAUUAAGUUAGAUAAAUGAAAUUUAUAAGAUUUAUUAAAAUAAUUCAAGUCAAAAUAUAGUUUAAUUAAGAUUAAUAUGGGUUACAAUUAAUUUAAUUAUUGGAUUAAAAAAUUUAAAUUUUUUAUGAAAAUGGAUUUAAAAGUAAAUUUAAUUAAUUUAUUAAAUUGAAUAAUAAAUUAAAUAUGU
RNAcentral lists this ribosomal RNA (343 nucleotides) under Vespa mandarinia (Asian giant hornet). Its description in RNAcentral is "partial 12S ribosomal RNA". The record is from RNAcentral. Lineage: Eukaryota; Metazoa; Arthropoda; Insecta; Hymenoptera; Vespidae.